Molecule: signal recognition particle RNA, 300 nt
Filed under: Gopherus evgoodei (Goodes thornscrub tortoise)
Lineage: Eukaryota; Metazoa; Chordata; Testudines; Testudinidae
Description: Metazoan signal recognition particle RNA (ENSGEVG00005003720.1)
Rfam family: Metazoan signal recognition particle RNA
About the family: The signal recognition particle (SRP) is a universally conserved ribonucleoprotein. It is involved in the co-translational targeting of proteins to membranes. The eukaryotic SRP consists of a 300-nucleotide 7S RNA and six proteins: SRPs 72, 68, 54, 19, 14, and 9.
Source: Rfam by way of RNAcentral
GCCGGGCGCGGUGGCGCACGCCUGUAAUCCUAGCUACUUGGGAGGCUGAGACUGGCGGAUCGCUUGAGCUCAGGAGUUCUGGGCUGCAGUGGGCUGUGCCGAUCGGGUGUCCACACUAAGUUCGGCAUCAAUAUGGUGAUCCCUGGGAAGCUUGGGGUCACCAGGUUGCCUAAGGAGGGGUGAACCGGCCCAGGUCGGAAACGGAGCAGGUCAAAACUCCCGUGCCGAUCAGUAGUGGGAUCGCGCCUGUGAAUAGCCCCUGCAGCGUAGCCUGGGUAAGACAGUGAGACACGGUCUCUU